AGUGAACGCUGGCGGUAGGCCUAACACAUGCAAGUCGAACGGCAGCACAGUAAGAGCUUGCUCUUACGGGUGGCGAGUGGCGGACGGGUGAGGAAUACAUCGGACUCUACUUUUUCGUGGGGGAUAACGUAGGGAAACUUACGCUAAUACAUCAUACGACCUACGGGUGAAAGCAGGGGAUAUUCGGACCUUGCGCGAUUGAAUGAGCCGAUGUCGGAUUAGCUAGUUGGCGGGGUAAAGGCCCACCAAGGCGACGAUCCGUAGCUGGUCUGAGAGGAUGAUCAGCUACACUGGAACUGAGACACGGUCCAGACUCCUACGGGAGGCAGCAGUGGGGAAUAUUGGACAAUGGGCGCAAGCCUGAUCCAGCCAUACCGCGUGGGUGAAGAAGGCCUUCGGGUUGUAAAGCCCUUUUGUUGGGAAAGACAAGCAGCAGGUUAAUACCCCGCUGUUCUGACGGUACCCAAAGAAUAAGCUCCGGCUAACUUCGUG
RNAcentral lists this ribosomal RNA (492 nucleotides) under uncultured bacterium. Its description in RNAcentral is "partial 16S ribosomal RNA". It matches the Rfam family "Bacterial small subunit ribosomal RNA", at positions 29 to 507 of the family's 1533-position model. The record is from RNAcentral.